RNAcentral lists this unclassified non-coding RNA (211 nucleotides) under plant metagenome. Its description in RNAcentral is "partial contains small subunit ribosomal RNA, internal transcribed spacer 1, and 5.8S ribosomal RNA". The record is from RNAcentral.
UUUCCGUAGGUGAACCGGCGGAAGGAUCAUUCAUAAUAAAGUGUUUUAUGGCACUUUUUAAAAAUCCAUAUCCACCUUGUGUGCAAUGUUAGAUCUCGUCAAUCUUGGCGAGAUUUUUAUACAUCAACUCAUUCUUUAACUAAUUUGUCUGAAAAAUAUUAUGAAUACUUAAUUCAAAAUACAACUUUCAACAACGGAUCUCUUGGCUCUC